UUGGGAAUCUUGGACAAUGGGGGAAACCCUGAUCCAGCCAUGCCGCGUGAGUGAUGAAGGCCUUAGGGUUGUAAAGCUCUUUCGCACGCGACGAUAAUGACGGUAGCGUGAGAAGAAGCCCCGGCUAACUUCGUGCCAGCAGCCGCGGUAAUACGUAGGUGGCAAGCGUUGUCCGGAUUUACUGGGCGUAAAGGGAGCGUAGGCGGACUUUUAAGUGAGAUGUGAAAUACCCGGGCUCAACCUGGGUGCUGCAUUUCGAACUGGAAGUCUAGAGUGCAGGAGAGGAGAGUGGAAUUCCUAGUGUAGCGGUGAAAUGCGUAGAGAUUAGGAAGAACACCAGUGGCAAAGGCGACUCUCUGGACUGUAACUGACGCUGAGGCUCGAAAGCGUGGGGAGCAGACA
Molecule: ribosomal RNA, 402 nt
Filed under: uncultured bacterium
Lineage: Bacteria
Description: bacterial SSU rRNA
Rfam family: Bacterial small subunit ribosomal RNA
Source: RNAcentral